CCUGCCGCGUGUAUGAAGAAGGCCUUCGGGUUGUAAAGUACUUUCAGCGGGGAGGAAGGGAGUAAAGUUAAUACCUUUGCUCAUUGACGUUACCCGCAAAAAAAGCACCGGCUAACUCCGUGCCAGCAGCCGCGGUAAUACGGAGGGUGCAAGCGUUAAUCGGAAUUACUGGGCGUAAAGCGCACGCAGGCGGUUUGUUAAGUCAAAUGUGAAAUCCCCGGGCUCAACCUGGGAACUGCAUCUGAUACUGGCAAGCUUGAGUCUCGUAAAGGGGGGUAGAAUUCCAGGUGUAGCGGUGAAAUGCGUAGAGAUCUGGAGGAAUACCGGUGGCGAAGGCGGCCCCCUGGACGAAAACUGACGCUCAGGUGCGAAAGCGUGGGGAGCAAACAGGAUUAAAUACCCUGGUAGUCCACGCCGUAAACGAUGUCGACUUGGAGGUUGUGCCCUUGAGGCGUGGCUUCCGGAGCUAACGCGUUAAGUCGACCGCCUGGGGAGUACGGCCGCAAGGUUAAAACUCAAAUGAAUUGACGGGGGCCCGCACAAG
This 544-nucleotide ribosomal RNA is filed under the name uncultured bacterium. RNAcentral describes it as "bacterial SSU rRNA". It matches the Rfam family "Bacterial small subunit ribosomal RNA", at positions 393 to 929 of the family's 1533-position model. The record is from RNAcentral.